This 648-nucleotide ribosomal RNA is filed under the name uncultured bacterium. RNAcentral's name for it is "bacterial SSU rRNA". It matches the Rfam family "Bacterial small subunit ribosomal RNA", at positions 59 to 664 of the family's 1533-position model. The record is from RNAcentral.
CAGUCGAACGGAGUAUGAGAGCAGAAGGUUUCGGCUGGAAGUUUGAAAUACUUAGUGGCGGACGGGUGAGUAACGCGUGGGUAACGUACCUAUCAGAGGGGAAUAACAAUGAGAAAUCAGUGCUAAUACCGCAUAAGGCUCAGUCAUCGCAUGAUGGCAGAAGGAAAGGUGGUGGACUCGAGAGAGGCUAUCGCUGAUAGAGCGACCCGCGUCUGAUUAGCUAGUUGGUGGGGUAAAGGCCUACCAAGGCGACGAUCAGUAGCCGGCCUGAGAGGGUGGACGGCCACAUUGGGACUGAGACACGGCCCAAACUCCUACGGGAGGCAGCAGUGGGGAAUCUUCCGCAAUGGGCGCAAGCCUGACGGAGCAAUGCCGCGUGAACGAAGAAGGUCUUCGGAUUGUAAAGUUCUGUCCUUAUCGAAGAGAGGGUAUAGAGUGAAAAAUGAUAUACUAGGACGGUAGAUGAGGAGGAAGCCCCGGCUAACUACGUGCCAGCAGCCGCGGUAAUACGUAGGGGGCGAGCGUUGUCCGGGAUCACUGGGCGUAAAGGGCGCGUAGGCGGUAAUAUAAGUCAGAUGUGAAAGGUGGGGGCUCAACCCCUAGAGUGCAACUGAUACUGUAUAACUUGAGUGUGAGAGAGGGAAGCGG